Non-coding RNA from Pangasius djambal, 74 nucleotides. Lineage: Eukaryota; Metazoa; Chordata; Actinopteri; Siluriformes; Pangasiidae. The record is from the annotation of a GenBank genome assembly.
GGCUGUGGUAGCUCAGUGGUUAGGACGUUGGGCGACUGAUGGGGAGGUCAUGGGUUCAAUCCCCAGCACUGUCA